RNAcentral lists this ribosomal RNA (433 nucleotides) under uncultured bacterium. RNAcentral describes it as "partial 16S ribosomal RNA". It matches the Rfam family "Bacterial small subunit ribosomal RNA", at positions 29 to 507 of the family's 1533-position model. The record is from RNAcentral.
AACGAACGCUGGCGGCAUGCCUAACACAUGCAAGUCGAACGAUCCCUUCGGGGAUAGUGGCGCACGGGUGCGUAACGCGUGGGAACCUGCCCUUAGGUUCGGAAUAACUCAGAGAAAUUUGAGCUAAUACCGGAUAAUGUCUUCGGACCAAAGAUUUAUCGCCUUUGGAUGGGCCCGCGUUGGAUUAGCUAGUUGGUGGGGUAAAGGCCUACCAAGGCGACGAUCCAUAGCUGGUCUGAGAGGAUGAUCAGCCACACUGGGACUGAGACACGGCCCAGACUCCUACGGGAGGCAGCAGUGGGGAAUAUUGGACAAUGGGCGAAAGCCUGAUCCAGCAAUGCCGCGUGAGUGAUGAAGGCCUUAGGGUUGUAAAGCUCUUUUACCCGGGAUGAUAAUGACAGUACCGGGAGAAUAAGCCCCGGCUUACUCCGUG